GUGGGGAAUAUUGGGCAAUGGGCGCAAGCCUGACCCAGCAACGCCGCGUGAAGGAAGAAGGCUUUCGGGUUGUAAACUUCUUUUACCAGGGACGAAACAAAUGACGGUACCUGGUGAAUAAGCCACGGCUAACUACGUGCCAGCAGCCGCGGUAAUACGUAGGUGGCGAGCGUUAUCCGGAUUUAUUGGGUGUAAAGGGCGUGUAGGCGGGACAGCAAGUCAGAUGUGAAAACCAGAGGCUCAACCUCUGGCCUGCAUUUUAAACUGUUGUUCUUGAGUGUCGGAGAGGUAAUCGGAAUUCCGUGUGUAGCGGUGAAAUGCGUAGAUAUACGGAGGAACACCAGUGGCGAAGGCGGAUUACUGGACGAUAACUGACGCUGAGGCGCGAAAGCGUGGGGAGCAAACAGGAUUAGAUACCCCUGUAGUCC
Molecule: ribosomal RNA, 428 nt
Filed under: uncultured bacterium
Lineage: Bacteria
Description: partial 16S ribosomal RNA
Rfam family: Bacterial small subunit ribosomal RNA
Source: RNAcentral